RNAcentral lists this ribosomal RNA (700 nucleotides) under Enterococcus hirae. Its description in RNAcentral is "bacterial SSU rRNA". It matches the Rfam family "Bacterial small subunit ribosomal RNA", at positions 74 to 761 of the family's 1533-position model. Lineage: Bacteria; Bacillati; Bacillota; Bacilli; Lactobacillales; Enterococcaceae. The record is from RNAcentral.
GCUCCACCGGAAAAAGAGGAGUGGCGAACGGGUGAGUAACACGUGGGUAACCUGCCCAUCAGAAGGGGAUAACACUUGGAAACAGGUGCUAAUACCGUAUAACAAUCGAAACCGCAUGGUUUUGAUUUGAAAGGCGCUUUCGGGUGUCGCUGAUGGAUGGACCCGCGGUGCAUUAGCUAGUUGGUGAGGUAACGGCUCACCAAGGCGACGAUGCAUAGCCGACCUGAGAGGGUGAUCGGCCACAUUGGGACUGAGACACGGCCCAAACUCCUACGGGAGGCAGCAGUAGGGAAUCUUCGGCAAUGGACGAAAGUCUGACCGAGCAACGCCGCGUGAGUGAAGAAGGUUUUCGGAUCGUAAAACUCUGUUGUUAGAGAAGAACAAGGAUGAGAGUAACUGUUCAUCCCUUGACGGUAUCUAACCAGAAAGCCACGGCUAACUACGUGCCAGCAGCCGCGGUAAUACGUAGGUGGCAAGCGUUGUCCGGAUUUAUUGGGCGUAAAGCGAGCGCAGGCGGUUUCUUAAGUCUGAUGUGAAAGCCCCCGGCUCAACCGGGGAGGGUCAUUGGAAACUGGGAGACUUGAGUGCAGAAGAGGAGAGUGGAAUUCCAUGUGUAGCGGUGAAAUGCGUAGAUAUAUGGAGGAACACCAGUGGCGAAGGCGGCUCUCUGGUCUGUAACUGACGCUGAGGCUCGAAAGCG